Molecule: transfer RNA, 72 nt
Filed under: Toxocara canis (dog roundworm)
Lineage: Eukaryota; Metazoa; Nematoda; Chromadorea; Rhabditida; Toxocaridae
Rfam family: tRNA
About the family: Transfer RNA (tRNA) molecules are approximately 80 nucleotides in length.
Source: Rfam by way of RNAcentral
UAGGCAGUAGCUCAGUGGCUUAGCUUCCGCUUCGUAUGCGGGAAGAUCUGGGUUCGACUCCAGGCUGCUUCC